Molecule: long non-coding RNA, 20333 nt
Filed under: Populus trichocarpa (black cottonwood)
Lineage: Eukaryota; Viridiplantae; Streptophyta; Magnoliopsida; Malpighiales; Salicaceae
Description: long non-coding RNA (PTRI_LNC001424)
Source: RNAcentral
GAAGACACAGGACAUGGUCUGACCAAUUGUUCCAUGGUAGCAAAUAGAGACUCGAUUUCUGUAAUUGUUUCUGAAGUUUCUCUCGAGGAAGUGUGAGAUGCGAGCUUCUGAGUGGAGGUUUCAUUGGUUGAAGAUGCAGAAGUUGAUGCAACAGAUUGUUCUGCAGCACUGGGAGGAGAUACAAGAACAAUGUUUUUUUGCUGACUUGAAGAAGCAGUCAUAAAUUGGUCUUGUGGAAAUUCCUUCUGUAGUAAUUUCAGUUUUUCUUUAAGUAUCAUCUAAGAACAAAAGACGGUGCUUGAAUGGUUUAAUUUGAAAUAGAGAAUUACCUCAUCAGUUGCUUGAGAAUCAUUUUGAACUUGCUGAGAGAUGGGAGCUUCAAUGUCAAUGGGAGCUAGGGGAAUCUGACCUUGUUCACGAUCCUCCUGCAUUCAGGAUGUGGCAAGCUUUUCAAAAUCAUGUCAGGAACAGUGCAACUAAAAAGAAGAGACAGCUACCUUAUCAUUCAAAGUUGCCUGGGAAUCUUGGUAUAUUGAGGUCACUUGAGGGCCUGGUUUCAUCAAUCCAUUUCUCAUGGCCUGUUCCUUGAUAACAAGAUUAGUGCUUGUUUCGAUGACAGGAUGGGAAGCUUUUCCAGCAUCUGGAUUCUCAUUCACGUGCAAAUUCUCAGAAGCUGGUCCUUCAGAGACAGCAUACAUUUGAUUUUUAUGUGCUGCAGUUGUCUCACGGGCUAAGCUGGGCUGCCUAGAUGAGCUUGGCAAUUUGGACUGUGCCAUGCCAUAACCCAGCAAAUGAAAUUGAGUUGGAAAUGAGUCAACUAAAGAAUUAGAGGUCACUACACAAAGAGGAUUUGAAUGGAUAGAGGAGCUUUUUGUUGACUCCCUAUGUGAAGCUGUAUCGUUACAUUACUUAAGAGUCACAGUAUGGUGAAAGCAGUAGAAAUUUAACAAGAUUAUUCGUUAGUUUUAUGUUGGCAGAGUAGCUAGACAUUAGUUGCUCAUGUUUUCUGGAUCCAGGAGAAAAGGAAAACAAAAUCUGGACUAGGCAACUAAAUUUGGCAAAAGAAUUCAUACCUUCUUCACGAACAAGUUAUGUAUAGUCAAAUUAAGGUCAUCCUUCCAGAAUCCUGUGCUGUCUCCUUCUGUUAAUUGUACUCUCUCUAGCUUUGGGGUGUUUAUGACUCCCCGGGAAAACAAUUCCAUCUUCGGGCACUGAUCUAUGAAUACUCUCUCCAAUGAAGGAAACAUCAAUGCACAGUUUUGCAUGUAGAAGCUUGUGAGGCUUGGUAAGCAGUGAAAUGCCAAAUUUUCCAAUUUAUGAAAAACAAUCUCAUUUUCUGCUUCAUUUUCGUUGUUUGCAACUACUACUUCAAUCGUUUCACAUUCGACUACACUCAUGCUAGUGAGUUGCACAAGAUUUUUAGCUGUUGAUGAAGACAUCAAACUUGCUAGCCCAUUACAUUUUGAGACUUCCAAAGUCAUCAGGCAUCGGAAAGAUACCGACAUUGGAAUUAAAGUUUUCAGUGUGCCACAUUCAGAUACUCGAAGAAUUUCUAGAUUUUGGAAAAUUUGACAUGCCUGCGAGCUUUCUUUCGACAGAUGCAUGAGUUCCGGCAGCUUAGACAGCUCCAAUACUCUUAGCUGAGCAAAGACCUGGUUCGGCCUGCUACUCAUCUCUUCAAGCCGGACUAUUUCUUUGAAAGAAGCAUCACACACGACAAGGCUCUCUAAAAUGUUGAAUCUCUGAAGGAACCAGGAUGGAAAAUCAACACAAUCAAUGGGAAAGUGGACGAGUUCAAGAACCUUUAGUCGGCAGAAGAACUCGGUCCGAAAUUGGCCACACUGUGUCACCUCCAUGAUAGCAUUCCAAUCCACUCUCAAUUUCUUCAAUUCUGGAAAUGCAACCUGCAAACCAAUCGAAGACAUAAGAAAGUAGGAUCUUCUUUAAUGUACAGGAUGUUAUUGCCUAAACUGGCAGGCUCCCACCACCAACCAUUACCAUCAUUUAAUUCAAGUCAACUUGUGUAUAUUGCAAAAACAAAAGAAGAACUCAUGAAUAUGUUAUAUUUCAUAUUCUCCCAGAAUGGAAACCUGAAUAAUUGAUUCAGCACCAUGGUUAGAAGAGUGAGUAAUUUUUAGUUGGUUACUGUUCCAGGAUUAUGAGUUUCAACAUCUUACAUAUAUAUCUAUCCUUUGAUGGUUACAUCCAUAUUAUUUACAUUAUUCUACCAAUGUUUUGCUUUCAGAAUGAUUUAAUAUAUAACCAGAAAAACAGAGUCACUAUAGUAUGUAUUAACAAAUACUCUAAAACGCGUUGGGAAAAAUAUUGUUUCUCAUGUGUUUUUUUUUUUGUUGUUUUGUUUUUUUUUUUUGUUUUUUUUUUUUUUGUGUUUUGUCUUUUUUUUGUUUAUUUUCUUUUUUUUUCCCCACAUUUUUUUUGUUUUUUCAACCUCAUUUAAUAUUAAUGAAGAAAUUAUUAAAAGCAAAUUGAACCAAUACAUAAUUAUUUAUUUGUAAAACAAUCAAUAAUAUAUUAUUGUAAAAAAAUCAUAACAUUCUUAAAAAUAGUGACAUAAUAUUUUAAUUAGGAGCACAUUUCUCAAUAAAAAGCAAACAAUUAAAAUAAAGGUCCGUAAAAAAAUCUCAACCGUUGAAAUAAGUAGGAAAAAAAAGCAUUUCUCCCAUCUAAACUCUAUUUUUUAAUCAAUGCAUCCCUUGAUUGCUUUAUCAAAGAUAUGUUUUUUUUUAUUGCAAACAUUUUUUUUUUUACAAAAACUAUCAUGAUCUUAAAACAAGUUUUAAAAUAAUAUCUUAAUACUUUGCAUGUGAUUGAUGGAAAAAAUAAAAUAAAUAAUAACAAAUAAUAUGAUAAAAUCAUGUCAAGAAUAUAUGUAAAAAAAGUUUAAAAUAUUUUUUUAAUUAAAUUUUCUUGAGAUAUUUUUAUUUAUUUCAUAUUAGACACAUAAUAAUUGGAAAAAAAAAGAGAUAACAUUUCCAUUAAAACCUAUAAUAUUAUUUAAUAUUUUUCCUUUUUAGGCCAGAUUUAGGUUCAUGUACAAUGAAAAAAAGAAAAAAAAAAGACAUUGAAUUUUUAUUUAAUUGUGAAAUUCGGUCCUCAAAAUCAAUUAUUUUUAACUAAUAUAAUUGAUUAAUUCAACAUCACUUUUUUGAUUUUUAGAGAAUCUCAUGCAAAAUAAAUCAUCAAAUCUAAUCUCAAAUUAAUUUAAAACAUUUCCAUAAUAUCCCAUAGAAUUUAAUUUAAUUUUAUUUUUAUAUCAAAUUUAAUUUUUAUUUUCUUGAUUAAUAUUUAUUUUUAUCUUGUUAACAUCUAUAACAUGGGGAAUUGGUGAAAGAGGCUUGAGUAGACAAACUGACCUUAUAGGUGAGAAGUGCAGUGAAAUUAUAAUUGUCUCCCUGACCUUGCCUCUGCUCUUUUCCUUUAUCAACUGAAUUAGGCUCCGGUUCCUCUAUAAGGGAGGAGAUGAAGAUCUUCAUAUUUGGACAAUCAUCUAUGCAAAUCUCUUCUAACGAUGUAAGAUUCAGAACACCACUUCCUGAGUAGAUAUUGCUUAACUCAGGUAAAGACUCGAGAAUGAUCACUUUUAGUACAGGAAAUAUGAUUUUAUCCAUUGCUUCUUCUUCCCCUGCUCUCUCCUUGGUGAUGAUUUCUUCCAUCUUGUCACAGUUUCUUAUUACAAUUUUCUGGAGAUGCACAAGGCUCAAUGCCAUCGAUGGUGUAAAUAUAUUUCUCAAGCUGCUACAGUCAUGAACUUCUAGAAAAUUAAGGUUUCUGAAUUCCAGAAUUCCUUGAGGAUCUGUGUUACAUAUAUGUCUCAACCUUGAUAAACCAAUCAAGUUCAAUUCAUAUAAAAGGGGUAACCAAACCCUCCCUUCCUCUGGACUAAUACCUUUCAAAUCAAAUACCCCUUCUAGUAAAUCACAGUUUCUCACUUGCAGUUCCUGCAAAUCGUUCAUAAACUGUAGCAGAGUGGAAGGUAAAGCAUCGAGCGAAUAACAGUAUUCAUCCACCGUGAGGUUUGUUAAAUUUCUGAAGAAGUUGAAAGGAAGUUGGCAUUGCCAUCUCUCUUUCAAUUGAGGAAAGUCAGAUACCUUUAGCCUCUUUACACCAUCAAAUCCAACCUGCUCCAAUCCAAAUUAUUGCAUUAGUUAAAAAAAAGAAGAAGCUAAAUUGCUGAAGCACCUACUCAUUCCUAGAAGAAAAGGAAAAAUGAAUAUUUGAAUUAUUAUGAAAGAGGGGCAAGAAUCAAGCCAUGCUCAUAAUACAGGAGUUAUUGAUACAUACCAUUUCUGUGUAUAAGUGUUGUAUGGUAAUAUCAAGAUUACCAUGCCAAUGCACUCUAUUCUUAGAAUACCUUUUCCAGUGUACUCCCCGCAGCUUUGGCGUGCUUAACACUCCUGGAGAGAAAAUUCUCAUAUUAGGACAUUCUUCGACAACCAUUUCUUUCAAUGAUGGAAAUCUGAAGGCAUAAUUUCCAAAGCAGAAGCUUGUGAGAUUCUGUAAAUCUAGAAGUUCCAAAUAUUCUAGUUUGCUGAAAAUGAUCUCAUCAUCUGCUUCAUCUCCUCCCUGUCUUGCCACCACUACUGUCACUUUUUUGCAAUGAGCUAUGGUCAACUUAACAAGUUGCACAAGACUUUUAGCCGUUGAUGAUGUAAACAAGUUCAAUAAUCCAAGGCAAGACUGUAUAUCCAGAGUUGUUAAAUUUUGAAAACACACAUAAGAUGGUGCUAAACUGACCAAACUGUGACAAUCCUCUACUUGGAGAGUCUUAAGAUUGUGAAGAAUGGGAGCUAGCAGGUGGUCUUGCUUCCAUAUAUGUUUUAUAUCAUGAACUGCAUGUAUUGUUAAAUUUUUUAAUCGUGCAAGUGCACGUCUCUCUUCACCAACAACUUCUCUGAUCGAUGGUAGCUUUUUGAAUGAACUAUGCCCUUUGUACAGGAAUAGCUUUUUGAAAGAACUAUGUGUCACGGAUAGUGUUUCAAGAUUCCGUAAUCUUUGCAGGAAACCAAAUGAGAUAGGAUCUGAUUUAACACCAAAAUCGUGUAACUUUAGAACUUUCAAUGAGGAAUAGCACUCUAUUGGAAGUUGGUGAUGCCAAAUGAUUGAAGCAGUUGUGUUCUUGCCACCUAAUGACAAUUCCUCCAGGUUGGAGAUCACCUGCAACACACUCAAACAAAAGCAAAGUGGGAGUUGAUAUUUUGUCCAAAUAAAAGUAAUUUCACCUGCAUUAAUUUACACAAUGGGAAAGAGAAAAAAAAGGAAAAUUAAGCGCUCAUGUACCAAUUUAGUAUCUAAUCAGCAAAAAAUGCACUGAAGGGUCUGAUCCCAUGAGGGACCUGAUUCAUUUUACCUCUUUUAAGGGUGAAAAGAACCAUCUGACAUGAUAUUAGUUAUUCCAUCUAAACCAAAAUUUCUCUAUAUUUCUUGUAGAAACUUGUUGGAAGUUGAGUUACUAACCAGCAACAAGGAAAAACAAAUAAAGUAAAAAAGGGAAGAGAAGUUAGUGCUAUGCUAUAUCAUAUUUCUAUCAAAGUUUUACUUGAUUUCAUUCCAAGUGCAUUUGGCGCAGAGUCUAGACUGUUCCGACGAUAUUCAUGGCCAUUGGAACAGCCUUUCAAUGAGAAGCAGAUGUUUGAUAUUAUGCAGCCAAUAACUAGGAACAUAUUGCUUUGCACAGUGAAGUUUGGAAAAGAAAAGGAAAAGCUUUGUGCAGAGAAACGUUCAUUUUUCAUAUUUUUUUCUCAAAUCCAGGAACUGACCCUUAAACUAUCACUUCCAAUGAAUAUGAUGGUAAUACAAUUGAAAUAUGUUGAGGCAUGAAAGUAUCACAGGUUUUUGAAUACCUCAGAGAAGAAGUGAAAGGAAAACAGAGGGCAUAAUUUAGAUUCAUACCUUUUCAACGAAGAAGAGAGGUUGUUGAGCCGGGAUACCAAGUUGGACUUCCCCCUGAGUUUCUUGAGAUUUAAGAAAUUUGGAGCCGAAUAAUGCUACAUUGCAGCAAUCAGACACCGCCAACCUUUUUAACAUGGGAGAUUUCCAAGUAUGUUUCCCUGGAUAUAAGUUCCUGAAUUCUGGUAAUUCUUGAAGUUUCAAUGAGGUUAGCUGCGGAAACACAAAACAAUGGGCUGCUUCACCAUCGUCCACCUUCACAAUAAUUUCCUCCAGUUUCCCACAAUGCUCUAUCUUGAGUUUUUCGAGUUGCACAAGUUCUCUAGCUAUAGAGAAGGGAAACAGAUUCUUCAAUACAUUACAAUCAGAAACCUUUAAUGCAUGUAGAUUUUGGAAGCUGAGUAUUCCUUGAGGAUCUUUAUUCCAUAUAUGCUUCAGUUUGCCUAGUCCAAUCAAGGACAAGUCUCUUAACUGAAGGGAACCAGAUGCACCAGUUUCUUGAAGGUCAAAGAUCUCUUCUAAGAAAGGACAAUGACGGAUAUCCAACAUCUCUACCAUCCGGAAUGUUUCUAGCAAAAUUGAUGGGAAAACCCUCACUAGCCUUUUACAGCUAGAAAUUGUUACUGAUCGUAGUUGACAAAAGGAAUCUUCAGCUAGUUGGUUGUGCCACAUCUUUUCCAAGUUCUCUAUGUGGGAAAUUUUGAUUUCAGCUAGGCUAGGGAAUGCAACCUGCAAGGUCCAUCUGUCUUUGUUAAGCACAAUAAACAUGCCUGUAAUAAUAAAUAGAACAUAUACGAAAGAUCUAUAUAUGAAGAAGGUAAACAAGGUGAAGACGAACCAAAUUUCUUAUAUCAGUUGAUCCUAUAUAUGAAUUUGAUUUAAGAAAAUCAAAACUAUGUAUUAAAUGGAAAUCAAAUGGAUAAGUAGUCAUAUGGAAAAAAAUUGCUGAUUAAACCAUAAAACUAAGAACCUUUUUUAAAGAAAAUUGGGCAUCAAAUUAAAAUGUAAAAGAAUAGAUAAAAAAUGGUCAAUUAAAAGUAUUACCCUGCAAAAAAUUGUCCUUCUGAUUAAAGAAGAGAAAGGCUUACACUUUACAGCUUCGGUGGUCUAUCAGUCCUUUUAGACUUCAAAAAUUUGACAUUUUAAUUAACCUUUAUGAAGACCGAUCACAGGUAAAUUAAUAUAAAAAUAACAGAAAUUUUGGUUGACUUAUUUUAGAUUUGUAACACUAUCUUGAAAUUUUUCCUUAAAAUUCAUAAAGCUUUAUGUUCUUUCAUAUUCUUUUCAAUAGUACUGAAGAGAGGGAUUACGACCUCGAUCACCUUUCAGAAUCUGAAAUGAUUCGAGCUUUGAUAUAUGAAGUGAAAGAAGGAAGGGCGAAAGAGGAGAAUAGAAGAAGAGGUCACCUUUUCAUCAAAGAGAGGCUGAACGGCAUUGUGGUCACUCUCCCUUGAAUGCAAUUCUCCAGGUUCAAUGUCAACUGUCAUGUUCGCGCUAUCGGGACAGGAGAUGAAUGUCUUAAAUUCAGGGCAAUAACAAAUGUACAGUUGUUUCAACACUUUACACUUGAUCAGCGAGCCAGCACAGAACCAUGUGAGUCUUGGAAGAUCAGAGAGCUCAACAUCUUCCAGUUUAUCAAAGCACAUCUCGCUCAUCAUUUCUCCUUCUUCCACUCCUUCUACAGAUAUUAUCUCUUCCAUGGACUUGCAAUUACGUACAGUAAGAUACUUGAGUUGCACAAGACUUUUAACCAUGGAAGGAGAAAACAGAUAUUUCAGGCUGUGGCAAUCAUCCACAUAUAAUGUCUGUAAAUUUUGAACAGGAAAUGUAUUUUCCCGAUGAAGCUGGCCAUGCCAUAUCUUUUCAACGUUGAUAGAGACCAAUUCCAACUUCUUCAGUUUCGGGAUAAGAAUCUGCAUGUAAUAUUUUUGUUUUAUUAAGGACAUUAUUCUCAAAGUCAAGGACGAGUUUGUUUGGCAAUAUGGUUGUGGGUGCUUUUCAAAUAACUUUUCGUGCUAAAAUACAUACCAAUGAUGUUUUUUUAUUUUUUAAAAAUUAUUUUUGACAUCAGCACAUCAAAACGAUCCAAAACAUAUAAAUUAUAUUAAAUUUUAACAAAAAAAAAUUUCAAAUCUUUUGAGAACGCAGGUUGAACCGCGUUUCCCAAACGUUCCCGAAAUAGUUUCGUCUAUAGGAAGAAGGUACCAUGGAUUGAAGUAUUAAACUGCAAACAAUAUCAUUACUGAAAACCUUGAACAACAGCCAUAAUUUUAUCACUAGAAAUUUCUAUCAAUUGGCAAUUGUACGAGCUUUUUUAGUUUCUUAUCCACUAUUUAAACAUCCAACCAAUCUAAAAACCUAAAUUUAUAAAGAAGGUAUAUUAUACAUAGUUGAAUGAAAAUUAUGUAGCUACCUUUUCACAGAAAAGCUGGAGAGGAUUUCUCGGCUCAUCCUCUGAAAUUUCUUUAGAUUGCAAUCCCACGCUAGUUGCCACUGGAUUCAGUUGAGCUUGACAGAGUCGAGAUGUCUUCUCUCUGGAGCAAAAGUUUUUGAGAUGCGGCAAACACCGAAGCGAUAGUGAGCUCAAUUGAUUGAACUCCAUCACAUCAAUUUCUGUACAAGAGUCUUCAAAUUCAUCACCUUCCUCAGCAACAAUCUCUUCCAUGGUUAGGCAAAACGAAAUAUUGAUGGUUUGAAGUUGCGAAAGUCCUCGUGCAAUGGAGAAUGGGAAGAGAUGCUUCAAUUUAACACAGUUCCCCACUUCUAUGAUUGUUAGUUUCCUGAAAGACUCUGCUGUGAGAAUGCCAUGGCAAAGUUUCUCCAAGGAUACCAAAUUGUAGAGAAACAAAGACUCCAACACAGGGAAGACAUGAGAAGGAACCUCGCUGCUAGUGUUAAUAAUAUAUUGAAUAUCAGAACUAUUGUGGAGAUGGAGGUGCCGCAGUUGUAGAAAUCCUUCCGUGUCUAGUUCAGAGACGACAUUAUUAACACCCUUUAGUUCAAGUAAAUACAAAUCUUGAGUUCUCUUCAACAACAUUAGAACACCAUGCUCCAAAUUACUGGCGCUUGUGUUGAGCCUGAGCUUCAAUGUUCUCAAGCUCUGAUAAACACCAUCCCAAUCCCAGACAUCUCCAAUAAAGAUUCUGAAUCUUUCUAAUCUUUUAGAGAGCAUGCCUUUUGACAUAACAUGAGAAUCUAGAACAUGUAUGUCCACAUUUGUCAAGUGAGGCAAAUGAUCCAACUCAACAAGACUGGCAUUGUCCUCCCCUUCAGUAGCCCAAUGAUGGAAGCUGUUUCCCAUACACAAUUCUUCUAGCAUGGACAAGUUUGAGAGGAUAUUUGGUGGAAUUACUUCAAGUUCAAAACAAUCACUCAAAUCCAACAUUCUCAGCUCAGUCAACUGCCCUAUUUGUCUUGGCAAAUGCUUAAUAUUAGAUUUGGCAAAGCUGAGAAUUUCCAAUUUCUUCAGCUCCCCAAUGCCAGCUAUCUCUUCCAAUGAAGAUUGAUGAAGACACAAAGUUCGAAGGUUUUUUAGGAAAUGAAGAGGUGAAGGCAAAGACACAAGAGAAAUGUUAGUCAAUACUAAGACUUUCAAUUUGUGCAUUCCUCUACAUAUGUUGCUACUUAUUUCUAGAGAAGGAUCCUCACUCCUUACAUGUAAAAAUUUAAGUUGUGGGUACUCCAUCUCUCUAAGAAGCUCGAUAUUUGAACUUAACCAAAUUUCUUUAUACUUCUUUAACAUAUUCUUAGCAGACCAUUUUGGUUCAACCUCAUCACCCCCAACAAAUACGUGGCAGUCUCUAAAAGCAAUUGAUAUAGCAACAUCACGCACAGCAUCAUGCAUAGAAAAUUGCCAAUCGCUAUGAUUUUCUAGCAACAAUCCAGAGGCCUUGAGUUUAUGAACCAACGAAUGCACUCUGUCUUGUGCUUCUUCAACUGUAACAAAGCCAGAAAACAAGCCCAAACCCAUACCAUAUUUCAACAAGUCGCGAGUGGAUGCAUUAUAACCCAUUCGACUACAAAGAAGGAAAGUUGAUUUUAACUCCUUACUUUCAAGAUGAUUAUAACUUAGUUCUAUAGCCGCAUACACAUCUUCCUGCACUCCUGCGAAGUUUCUUGGAGAUGGUCUCUUUAGUUCCCGUAAUGCAUUCUUCCACUGGGACAAGUUCUUGUUCUUCAGAGCUCUUGCAACAGUUACAAUGGCCACCGGUAAACCUGCACACAUUUUGGCCACCUCAAUUGCCAAGGAUUGCAAAUCUGGAUGUUCAACGUGAUCUCCUGCUAAGUAGUAAUAUAGGUUACUGUUAGCUUUUCUCUGGUUCAUGGAAGCAGUUGCUUAUACUCACUAGAAAACAAAUGAUUAACAUUUUAGAUUUUUGUAUUUGCGUGUCUACUAGGUAGUGAUAUAUGGUAUUGAUAGAUGAAAAAAAAAUUAAUCACCUGCCAUCUUUUUGAACAACUCCCACGUUUCUUCUUCAGAUAAAGCAUUGAUGGGAAAGUUCUUUUGAAUAUCCAUUCCACAAGAUAAAACAUCAAAUUCCCUCGAUGUCACCAGCAUCUUGCAUCCUUCGUGUUCAUCCUUGAGUGGAAUCCCAACUGCUUCUAAAUCAAGACUCUUCCACAAAUCGUCUAGAAUAAUAAGAAUUUUCUGCUCUUGUUUCAACCUCUGGCGCAAUCGACCAGCUCUUCCACAUUCACUUUCCUCAUCAAAUUUUAGAGAAAGCUGGUCUGCAAUCUGCCCUUGAAUUUUCUUGAUGUCUUGGGUUUGGGUUAUAGUGGCAAACACUACCUGGUUAAAUAAUUUCUCCUGAAUGGCUUGUCUAGCAGCCUCUUUUACCAGCGUUGUCUUCCCCAUACCACCCAUUCCAUACACCCCAACCAUGUUCACAUCAGCAGUUGUUAAGGCAUUCAUAAUUUCCUUCAAAACGGGUGUUCUUGAUGGCAUGGCGUCAUAACUUCUGAAAGUUAUAGCUUCCAUCCCUUUUGGAGCAGCUCGACGGGAAACUGUGCUGAAACCAUCUCUUUCAUCCAGGAGGCUGGCAACAAAGCGUGUUUCCGCCUUUGCUUUCUUGCUACACUGGUAUCGUGCCUUGAGAUCCGGACACAAUCCGAUGAAGCACUUCUUUCUCGCUCUAUCUUCAUCUUCCAAAAUCUCCCUUUCCACUUUUUCUGAAGCUUCUUCCACAAGAGAUAGCCACUUUAUAACAUCCUCAAGAAUUGCUUCCCCAUUGUUUCUGGCAUCGUCAACUAAAUGCUGCACCCUCAGCUGGGCACUUUUCAACUUCUUGACUUCCCUCUUCAGAUUUUCAAAGUUGUGAUUGUAUUUGAAACAAUAAUUGAUCUCACGUGCAAUUGGAACAACGGUGUGCUCGGAAAAAAGGCCAAUGGUGGAAAUAAUGUUUUCCAGAACCAUUCUCUCUCCCCUUUUCCUCUGAUUUUCUUCUUUUCCUUUCUCUCUUUUGGUCGUAGGUUGGUUACAAAAUAACGCCAGAAGUAGGAAAUCAAAGGACGAACCUCACUGUUAAAUGACAAAGGUCCAAGAUGAUCUGAGCAUGGCAAUUGCUUCCCUAAUACUGCAGGUGUUGUUAACUACACAAGCAACACAAACAAGAUAAUAAUAAAGAUUCCAUCGAAAGUACUACUAGCAACAUUAGUCAAUAAAAAUCAGCACUACAAGGAAACAAGACAAAGAAAUAAAGUUAAAUAUAUUUAAAUCAAUACUUUUUUAUUUUAUUUUAUUCAGGGAGUCUUUCGAAUAAUAAUGAUUUUUUUUGGUUAUAUGUUUAAUUUUUUAAGAAAUUUUUUAUUUAUUUAUAUUUUUUUUGUAUAAAUAAAUUAUAUUUUUUUAAAUAAAAAAUAUUUAUUUUUAGAUAAUAUUUCUAAUAUGUGUAGGUUUAUAUAUUAUUUUUAUUUUAUUUAAUCAAUUAAAUGUGUUUAUCUAUUUUUAUUAUCGUUUAAUUAAAUAAAAAAAAUUUAAUUAAUCGGGUAAAUAUCAUGUCUUGCGAGAUUUAAUAUCUUGAUCUAUAAUUAUUUUUUUAUUUUUUAAAUUUUAUUUUUAAGUAUUAUAAAUUUUUUAUUUACAUUUAAAUUUUUUAAAAUACAAAAAUACAUUAAAAAAAACUAUAUAUAUAAUUGUUUUCAUGAAAAUAAAAAUAUAUACACCGCAGGUUGUUUAAGAAAAUUCAAUAAUGGAUGUGCUAUUGUGUAGUGAAAAUGAUCAGUGACAGAGUCCACUACUUAAACGUUGUUUUUUUUUUUUUUUUUUUCCUGUUUGCAUCGCUCAUGAAAACAAUAUCUUUCUCUCCUCUUUAAAAAUAAUUGACAGGGUCAACUUAAUUAGAAAAAUAAAAAAAGUAUAAAUUAUAAAUUUUUUUAAUAAAAAUUUUAAAAUAGAAUUUUUAAUAAGAUUUAUGAAAAACCAUAUUAUAUAUUUAUUAACCAAACACUUACCUAUAAUUAAGUAAAACAUAAACUACAUAUAUAUAUAUAAUUAACUAAAAAGAUCUUAAAAAUAGUUUUAUAACCUUAAUAAAUUAAUUUUUCCCCUAAAAAAAUCCUUUUUUUUAUCAAGAAAAAUACUUUAAUAUCAAUAUUUUAACAUGAUCUUGCUAAUAAAUAUUCUUUCACUCCUCCAUUUAUUUUUGAUGAUUUUCUUCCUUUUCUUUUGAAUUUAGAGAUUGAAAAAAUCGUGGGUUUAAAGUGUGAUGAACUAAUGCUGACAUUCCUACACUGCCAUUGAAGCUCAGCAUUCUCGUGGUAUGUAGGUGUGUUGAAACAAAUUUCCUUCGCUAUCUUGCAAACCAUGUCUGUUAAAGUUGGAAUGUGAAAACCUGCGUAGUUGCAAUUAUGUAGCAAUUGAGGAAUGAAAUCAUCCACCUUUUAUAUUAUGACAUGUUUUUCAAACUAUUAAAAUCAUCCAAGCAAGAAGGUUAGGAUAUUAAUAAAUAAUGGAAUAUUAGAAGGUAGAUUGUAUUUAUUAAUAAAUCACUAUGGAUGAAUUGAUUAAUUGACUAAUUGACUUUGCUAGCUCUAAGUCGUAGUUUAGUUGUGACUUGGACUUUUAGAUUGUGCCUGUAUGAUCUUGUAAUAGGAUAUGAGAUUAUACAUUUACGAUGUUAAUAUGUUACUUGUAAAGAUAAUUUUUAUGUAGAUUUGAUGUAUCGAUUUAUUAAUAGUCUUGGUCAAUAAAGAUAAGAGACAAAUAACAAUUUCAAUCUUCUUAGCCGGUGAUUGGGAGUCUUCAUGCUUUUUGUUAGUUUGGUUUAUGGAUUAAUUAGUAGAUUAAGUUUAUACAAUAAUUUGUUAAGUGUUAUGAACUCAUAAUUUGACCUAAAGUAGUUGGUGAUAAUAAGGUAAUUGUUGUAUUUAUUGAGAUUGACUUGUUUAGAUCUUGCAUGUAUUAUAUUGAGUUAUAAAAGAUUAUGACAAGCUCAAUUUGAUUAAUGUUGGCCAUUAAAGAUGGGUAAAAGAAAUCUGGGUGUCUUAUCUCUCUAAUGUUUUAAAGGUAUUGAAAAAUUUCAGAAGUUUUCAACUAUACAUGCCUUUUAGUUCCUUACUAGUUACAUGCCGCGCGAUGCCGCGGGUCAUAUUUUUUUGCAUAAAAAAUAAAAAAAAAACUAAGAUUUAAAAGUGUUAGGUCUUUCUGCAAAGCUAUAUCCAAAAGUCUUGGGUUUGGCUGCAACGACUGACCUAAGAGUAAUAUUUAUAAUAUUAAUAAUAACAUUAAACUUGCAUGAUCCAAGUUUAAGUGGGUGUGACUGCAAUACCAGAUCCGAUAGCCUUGUAUGUAGGUCUGGCUGCAAGGUCGUGUCAUAAAAGUGUGAUAAUUAAAUAGAUUAAUUAAAAAGAAAAAAACAAAGAAAAAAACCAACAGAAAGAAAAAAACUAAUGAAGAAAAAGUAAAAAAUAUGAAUUAACUGGGUUAACCCUUCAAACCAGGUUAACCCGUCAAAUCUGGAAUUCGCGUCAUGAAAGUUUGAUAACUAAAUAGAAAAAAAAAUUAACGGAUUUACCUAGAAUUAACUGUGUUAACCCAUCAAACCAAGUUAACCCGUCAAACCAGGAUACAUGUCAUGAAAGUCUGAUAAUUAAAUAGAAAGAAAUUUAACAUCAAUAAACUAAACUAAACAAAAAAAAUUGAUUAAAAUUAAAAAAAAAAUCUGGGUUAACUUGUCAAAUCAGGUUAACCUAUCAAACCCAGAAUCCGUAUCAUGAAAGUCUGAUAACUAAAAAAAAAAAACAUUAACAAACUAAAUCAAACAAAAAAAUUCAUUAAUAAAAACAAAAAAAAAAUUAUAAACAAAAAAGGAAGAAAACAGCUAAGUAAUAUAAUAUAAUAUAAUAUAAUAUAUUAAUAAUAAGUUAAGUGAAAGCCGUGAAAAAAAAAAAAUCUUUUAAUCACUUAUGCAUAGAAGGCGUGAGAAAGCUACAAUAUUUUCCCACGUCUUUUAAAGUAUUACUUAAUUAAUAAAGGAAUAGAAAAAGGCAUCAAGUAUACAUUUGGAAAUGGCAUUUUGAGGUGUCAUUUUCACUAUUGAUAUUUCUUAAAUAUUGACUAUGACGAAUUCCUGUUGGCCUGUAGUGUUGAUAUAUUCUAUAUCAUCAUGUAUAUGUCAGUAGGUAUGCUAACAUGGCAUCAAUAAUUCAAACAUGUUGAUUGUGAUAUUGAUAUUUAUGCUGACAUAAUUAAGCAAAGACUUUUUUGGUUUUCUUAUUAGAAUAUGGUUAAAAUAUGUUUUAGUCUUAGAAAAGAUUAAAAAAAAAAAAAAACAAGGCAUGUGUUCCUUCACACUAGUUUUUUUUUUUUUUUUUAAUUCUCAAUCUCAUGGAGGGUGUUAUGGUAUUUUAAAGUUGAAAAAAUAUUUUUUAUUCGAAAAAAGUGUCUGCUACACAAGCAAAUGGAUGACACAUGAGAUGUCAUUUGAUGGCCAAACACGACACCUUUCAUCAUGUUAUUGGAAGUGUUACCAUGUCCUCUUCCUAUUAAUGUGACGCGUGGCGGCGGAUGAUAGAUGAUUUGUCGCCAGUUAUCAUUUUUUUCUUCUUCUUUCUUUUCUCUAUGUUCUAGAGAAAGUACAUGUAUGUCCUCUUUUCUUUUGAUUUUUUAAUUUUAGUCCUUAUGUUUUCUUAUUGCAUAUUUCCGUCAUUGACUCUUUUAUAAAAUUUUUUAUGUUUUUAAUUUAGUCCUUAAAUUACAAUUUGUUAUUUUUUUUUUUUCAAUUCGGUCUUUAUUGUUUUCAUUGGCUCUUUUGUUAAAGUUUUAUUGGGUUUCAAUUUCAUCAUUCAAUCAAAGUUUAUGUUGUUUUAUUUUUUUUCGAUUUAGCCCUCAUUCUUUUGAUUUAUUUUUCCUUAUGUUAAAUUAUCUUUCUUUUCAAUUUAAACCUCCAAUUUAAUUUUUUUAUGCUCUCUAAUUUAUUUUUGUAUUUCUAUUUUCACAUUCAUUCUUUUAAUUAUAAUUUUUUGUGUGAUUGAUUUUUUUUCGAUUUCAUCCUUUAGCGUUUAAUUUUUUAGGUAUUGAGUUUUAUGGUUUUUCCAUUUGAACUCUUUCUAUGUAAUGACACGGGUAAUGAAUUUGAAAAGUUGAUGCAGUUCAACAUUCUUUUUUUCUCAUUUUAUUUUAUAAUUUUAUCAUUCUACAUUAUUUUUGUUAAAAAAAAAGAUUAGUUUUGUGGUUAUUUUUAAUUUUUUUUCUAUUAGUUUAUCCCGGUCUCAUUCCUUAGGCCAUGGGUUUUGCAGGAACUUUUUAUAGAGUUUUUUUUAAAAAAACACAAAUUGAUUUGUUCGUAUUUAAUUUUUGAAGAUUUUUUUAUUUUAUAUAGGUUUACUUUAUUUUAUAUAAAAAAAAAUAUUUCUUUUAAAAUAAUAUUCCUAAUAUGUUUGGCAUUGUCUAAUAUUUAUUUUAUUUUAUUCAAUUAGUUUCAUAUGUAAUUCUAUUUCUAUUAUAUUUUAUGAUUGUAAUAAAUAAAUUUAAUAAAUACAAACGAGUAAAUAUCUCAUUUUACAUAAUCAAAUAUCAUGAUCUACAUUCAUUUCUCAAUCUUUUUAGUCUUCUUUUAGUUAUUGUUAAUGACUAUUUUUUUGUUUAUUUACAUGAAUGAUUAUCGAUUUAAUUUAUUAUAUGUUUACAUAAGCUUUUCGCUUUAUGCUUUGAACUUUUUAAUAUAAAAAACAUAUCAAAAUAGCUUGUAGAUCCAUUUAAAAAAAAACAUUAUGAUAUGCAGCAAAGUGCUAGUUAAAUAACUAUUACCAACAAUGUUUUGUGAGAUGACAUACAAUAAUACCACCAUCCUAAUUAUUAUUUUUUUGUAAUUUUCUUAUUCAAUUGGAUUUUAUUUUUUGGGUUUUUUUUUUCAAUCAAUUUUUCCUCAUAUCAUUGGCUCAUUAAUAAUGGAUGCACAAAUCACAUGACUUUUGACAAGAGUCUUUUCAAAACAUUGCAACCUAUAAGAAUUACAAAGGUUUGAAUUGGGAAUGAUAAUUAUAUAACAUCAAAGGGAAAAUGAACCAUUGCAAUCUCAACAAAUUUAGGUAUAAAAACAAUUUCAGCUGUAUUUUAUGUACCUGAUAUAAAUCAGAAUUUGCUAAGUGUUUGAUAACUAAUAGAAAAAGGAAUGAAGGUGACUUUUAAAGAUAAAUCCUAUCAUAUUUUUUAUAUUACUAGACAUAAGAUAUUGCAGGCUAAGAUGAGAGGUAAAAGUUUCUCAUUCUUACCAUACGAGGAGGAGCAUAUAACUUUCUCAACAAAUAUUAACAACACAAAAGUAUGGCAUAAAAGACUGGGAAAUUAUCAUCUUUAAUGCACGCACAAUAUGAAGAAGAAUGAUGUUGUGAAAUGUCUGCCAUUGCAUAUUGAUCAAUUAUCAAACUAUCAAGCAUGUCAGUUUAGUAAGCAAAACAGGAAGCCAUUUCCUAAAUUGACAUGAAGAUCUACAUAAAAACUCCAAUUGAUCUAUAUUAAUGUGGGAGGCCUUCAGAAAACAUCUUCAUUAAAAGGUAGUUGCUACUAUAUUUUUUUUAUUGAUGAUUUUACUAGAAUGUGUUGGGUUUUGUUCAUGAAAUACAAGUCAAAAAUGGUUGGAAUCUUUUAGAGAUUCAAAAAGAAUAUGGAGAAUCAAAGUGGAUGCAAAAUUCAAGCUAUAAAAUUUGACAAUGAGAAGGAAUACAUUUCAUCAGAAUUCAAGCUGUAAAGAUGUUGUCAUUAAGCAUCAACUUAAGGCUCUUUACACUCUAGAGAAAAAUAGAGUCAAUGAGAGAAGAAACAGAUACAUAAUGAAGAUGAUCAGAUACAUGCUACAUGAGAAGGGAUUGUCUAACGAAUUUUGGGCAAAAACAGCUAAUAUGACUAUCUUUCUUCAAAAUCAUCUUCCAAUCAAAUUUUUGGAAGAAAAAACACCAUUUAAAUCUUGGUAUGAUUACAAAUCUUCACUAAACUUUCUUAAAUUUUUUGGCAGUAUAUGUUUUGUUCAUGUUCCACAGGUCAAGCAGGAUAAGCUUGACAAAAAGACAAUUUCAAGAAUCAUUGUAGGUUAUAGUUUAGUUUCUAAAGCCUACAAAAUAUAUCUUCAAACACAGAAGAUGAUCAUUACAAGAGACCAUGAAGAUGAACAAUGGGAUUAAAAGGAUUCACAAAACAACAAGCUAUUUGAAGAUCAAGAUAAAUCUCAGUGGCAAGAUGAUCUAGUUGAUGAUUCAUCAAUAAGAGGAACAAAGUCUUUUUCAGACAUUUAUCAGAGGAGAAAUGUAGCAGGUUGUGAACCAGAUGGAAAUGAAGAAGCUCUCAUAAACUCUAAAUGGAAAAAAACAAUGGAGUAGGAGAUAUCAAUAAUUCAGAAAAACAGGAAUUGGUUGACUGACCCUAGACAAAAAUAUCAUUAGAGUAAAGUGGGUGUUUAGAACUAAACUAAAUGCAGAAAAUUCCAUCAAUAAACAUAAGACCAUACUGACAGUUAAGAGAUAUGCUUAGAUAUUUGGUGUUGAUUAUUCAAAUACUUUUUCUCCUGUUGCAAGAAUGGACACCAUCAGAUUAUUAUUGUUGUUACUGCAUAAAAGUACUGGAAAGUGUUUCAGUUAAAUGUUCAGUCAACAUUCUUAAAUAGUGUUUUAUAGGAGGAGAUUUAUGUUGAACAACCAACUGAAUUUAUCAUUCAAGGAAAAGAAGAUAAAGUCUACCUGCUAAAGAAAGCUCUAUAUGGAUUAAAGCAAGUACCUAAAGCGUGGUAUAGCAAUAUUAAUGAUUAUCUGCUAAGAUUUGAUUUUCAGAAAAACUUAUCCGAGGCAAAUCUCUAUGUAAGGAGGAAGACUAACAGUGAUAUUCUUAUAAUAUCACUCUAUAUUGAUGACCUUCUAGUGAUAGGAAGCAAUGGACAACAAGUUGAAGAAUUCAAGUAGAAGAUGAUGCAAGCUUUUGAAAUGACUGAUCUUGGUCUCAUGACAUAUUUUCUUGGAAUGGAAAUCAAGUAAAGUAAGAAUAAAAUAUUUAUCUGCCUGAAGAAGUAUGCAAAGGAAAUUUUGAAGCAAUUUUAUAUAAAGAAUUGAAUUGCAAACCAAUAGCUACUCCAAUGAAUUAAAAGGAAAAAUUCAGCAAAGAAGAUGAAACUAAAAGAGUUGAUAAAACUAAACCUGAUAAACUCUAUGCUACAAGUCUUUUAUCUCAUUUCAUACACUGUCCAAGUGAAAUGCAUUUAAGAGCAGCCAAACAAAUUCUAAGAUACAUCAAAAGAACUGUCAGCUUUGGUGUUCGGUUUUAGAGGAGUCAAAACUUAAAGCUGCAUGGUUUUACAGUGAUUAAGGAGGAUUUAUUGAUGACAUGAAAAGCACUUCUGGAUUCUAUUUUAGAUUAGGAUCAAGAAUGUUUUCAUGGUCAUCAAAUAAGCAGGACAUUGUAGCACAAUCCACUGCAGAAACUGAAUUUAUUGCAGCAACAACAACAAUGAAUCAGGUAUUAUGGCUUAAAAAGUUUUUAUGUGAUUUGUACUUGGAGCAUAAGGAAAUUAUAGAGAUCUCAGUGGAUAAUCAAGAAGCCAUAACAAUUUCUCACAAUCCAUUGUUUCAUGGAAAAACCAAACAUUUUAAUAUUGAACUCUAUUUUUUACAAGAGGUGCAAACAUUAGGAGGUUAUGUUAAUUUACUGUAAGUAUGAAGAUCAGCUAGUAGACUUGUUUAUAAAACCACUUCCAGUAAGCAAGUUUGAGCUCCUAAGAUAGAAGAUCGAAAUUUGCAGUUUCUAAAAUAAGGAGUGUUGAAGAUUGUUUCAGGAUUGUUAUAAGUCCACAUUACCUUUUUGUUAUGUUAGUUUUAGUUUCUUAUGUUUCCACCAAAUAAAAGAUUGUCCUAUGGAAGAGUUAUUAGUUUGUUAGCAGAUCAUAACAUGACUUUUGCUAUUCGUUAGCAAUCAAUUAUACUCUGCCUACAAUACACUAGUAAUUCUUCUUCUUGCAGUCUUUUAAUCUCUUCUGAUUUCUUUCUUUACUUGAAAACUAUCAAGAGUGAUUCAAUAUACAUGGUUUAUGGCAACAAAAAAUUGCAAAAUUAUUCACCAUUUCGAUAGUAAAUCCCAAACAACUCAACUGCUCAAGCAAAUAAGCUUCGAAUCUUACCCCAAUACUCAUUGGAAUUGUUGGCUCUAUUAUCAGCUUCAUUUUGUUGUCUCAAAGCUUCUGGAAGAGCUUUCAUGUGCGUUUCUAGUUCAGCUUUCCAACUGAUCAGCUGUGUACGGAGAUCGUCUGCAUCUUCUCGGAUGUGAAUUUCUUCUUCCGCAAUCUCAUCAAGUCUCUUUUUCAAUGCUUCCCUCUCUGCAGCAAGACUGCUUGCAUUGUGGAUAAGAUCUCCGUAAUGGUUCUUGAGGUCAGAAAUUCCUUUUUUCUUAUCUUCAAUGGAAUAUUUCAGUGCACUUGUCCUAUCAAUUUGGUGCUCGUACAAUGGGUAGUUGGACACUAGACUAUCAAAAUUGUCAAUGUAAGCUUGAAUGAUUUCUAACUGCUGAGAAUUUAGGAGAUCGCUUUUCUUUAGAUUCUUCAUUGUAGCUAGCAACAGGAGGCCAUCAGGUGAUCUUGCUACUUCCGUCAGGGGUUUCAAUAAGAUUUUCUUUAUCAAACCCUUAGAGUAGACAUGACUCUCGGGGCUCCCAACAUCAGACUCAUAAGAUUCAGCAUGUGUAUUUGCACUUGAUUCAGGCUGCGAAGAAGACACAGGACAUGGUCUGACCAAUUGUUCCAUGGUAGCAAAUAGAGACUCGAUUCCUGUAAUUGUUUCUGAAGUUUCUCUCGAGGAAGUGUGAGAUGCGAGCUUCUGAGUGGAGGUUUCAUUGGUUGAAGAUGCAGAAGUUGAUGCAAGAGAUUGUUCUCCAGCACUGGGAGGAGAUACAAGAACAAUGCUUUUUUGCUGACUUGAAGAAGCAGUCAUAAAUUGGUCUUGCGGGAAUUCCUUCU